GGAUAGUCCUUACGUUGUCAGACGCACGGUGUAGGAUGUCAUGACUAGUCCAACUCAUUUGUGGUGCGUGGCUGAAAAGGUCUGCCAAGGGCAUGGAUUUGCACUAGAUGAUUCUCGCAUGCCAGCGGAGCCUGAAAAACGUGAACUGGUUGAUGGGGCUAGGCCUAGGUGGAAUAUGGCGAACCAAAUACCUCCAAAGGGUGGGAAUCAAGACUGGUAACGGGCGUUCAUGGCCGCCACUAUAGGGACGUGUCAAUUCAAGACCGGUAACAGGCGUU
This 278-nucleotide long non-coding RNA is filed under the name Setaria viridis. RNAcentral's name for it is "long non-coding RNA (SVIR_LNC008107)". The record is from RNAcentral. Lineage: Eukaryota; Viridiplantae; Streptophyta; Magnoliopsida; Poales; Poaceae.